Molecule: transfer RNA, 75 nt
Filed under: Methanobacteriota archaeon
Lineage: Archaea; Methanobacteriati; Methanobacteriota
Also listed under: 1 other name
Description: Euryarchaeota archaeon tRNA-Thr
Rfam family: tRNA
About the family: Transfer RNA (tRNA) molecules are approximately 80 nucleotides in length. Their secondary structure includes four short double-helical elements and three loops (D, anti-codon, and T loops).
Source: RNAcentral
GCCACCGUAGCUCAGCCUGGUUAGAGCGGCGGUUUCGUAAACCGCAGGUCCGGGGUCCAAAUCCCUGCGGUGGCU